AAGUCGUAACAAGGUUUCCGUAGGUGAACCUGCGGAAGGAUCAUUAACACGUAUCCAAACGUUAAACAACCCCGUGAACAUACAACCUGCUCUGGUCGCCCGCUCGCAUGGACAAGCCCAGUAAAUCAAGCCCCGGAAAGUUUUUGAUUUGGGACCUCUGUGCGCGUGAGAAAAACUGACAGCGAUUCAUAGAAGCGGUAGGUCAAGUGACACGGCGUCCCCAAGUGACCAGCGAAUGAAAGUGUCGCUGGAGCGUCAAGGACGACUCUUCAAGAUUGCUAGAGGUCGACCGGCUUCCGUGUAUACUGAGCUAACACCGCCCACUUUAUUGCCUUGCCUGUAAGCAUCCAUACGGAUGGGCAGGCCCCCCGAACAACUGUUAACAAUGGAUAUCUUGGUUCUC
Molecule: unclassified non-coding RNA, 403 nt
Filed under: fungal sp.
Lineage: Eukaryota; Fungi
Description: partial internal transcribed spacer region
Rfam family: Eukaryotic small subunit ribosomal RNA (bases 1-46)
Source: RNAcentral